GCACAGUAACGUUAGUCCCAAAGAGACUUUUCUGUUUGUCAAGCUGCAGGCAGAAGAUGUUUGUUGCUGCUGAGGAGGAUGUUCCCUGGAGCUUAUGUUUUUUCCCAUAAAGAUGGGCGAUCUGGACAUUUAUUCCAGCAACGAAGAAUUUAAGCCCAUCUGAAUGUAACACUUCAUUGGUCCACCGAUGACCGUUCCUCAUUUGAUUCCAACAUAUCAGUGGACACCAGAGGAACAACCUGAUGUUUCUUUCAGUCCAAACGCAGUAAAAGGAAGCAACAGAAAGAGAAGGAGAGACAAUCACAGUCAGAAAGACCUCAAGAGACAGCGCUUCGUUUCUUCAGGUCCUCAUAACCAGCCUGCUAGAAAUGCCAACUUUACCUCCAAACCGGCGGCUGAAACAGUGACAAGCAGAGAAACAUCUCGGUUACCAUCCCCACAUGCUCAUCAGCCGCCUCUAAACCCGAAGGCUGUGUUCCAUCUUUGAGAGAAGGAUCCCAUCAUAGAGCCUUUCCCCCGUCAUCAGUCAGUGAUAAGCUAAGUCAACAGAUUCUUGACCUGUUUCAUGCUUGUGAGCAACAGAAAGAUGUUCUGGAGAAGAAGGAACAUUGCCGAGCAGCACUGCAGAGGGACAUCCAGACAAUCUUCCCAAGUGCACAAGUCUUCAUGGCCGGGUCAUCUCUAAAUGGCUUUGGUACUCGCAGCAGUGAUGCUGAUCUUUGUCUUGUCAUUGAAGAGGGAACGGUAAACCACAGAACAGAUGCUGUAUAUGUUCUAAGUCUUGUGUGGAAAUUGUUUUACACACUGUGUAAGUGAUCUGUCAUACAUACAUCAUUAAACAUACAGAAGUUUCCCUUUGUACUUGACUUUGUUUCAUCCACUAAUGGCAUUACUGCUGAGAGACCUCAGCUCAUCAGAGCCAAAGUGCCCAUUCUGAAAUCCAGUCAGGUGAGCCAAAUCAGAGAUAGGUGUGUCUACACUUCUGUUCAAUAAUUUUUUUAAGUAAAUUAAUACGUUUAUUUAGCAAGGAUGCAUUAAAUUUAUCAAAAGUGAUGGUAAAGACUCCUCUCCUGUGCCACUGCACAAAGGAACAAAACACACACAAAAAAAAACAUUAAAUCAGUGCAAAUAGUUUUAAUAAAGUUCAUAUAGUUUUCCGUGCAAAUUGAACAGUUUUAAGUCAGUAUGUGAGGAUCACUGCUACAUUCUUAAGAUCUUUAAAUCACUCAGCAGCACUUCAAAAAGAAUAAGCAUAUCCACUUUUUCAGGAGAUAAACUGUCUUAAGUAGCAUGAUGCUACAGUGUGAAUGAAUGGUCACAUAACACACGUUUUCCUUGACACCUCACCAGAGCCAAUCAACAGCACAUGAUUAAGGCACAUCAAGCAUGCUGCUUGCUUACUGGCUGUGUGUUUGAGUAAACUCAAUUUGGUGUACUCAUUCCUGACAACUUGAGUAACUAACAUAAGCAUCUCAGUAUUUUACAGUAAUGAUGUAAUAUGCUAUAUGUAUUUCAACAGAAAUUCAGAGUAAAAUCUUAAAAGUAAGUAUUGCAGAAUAUAAGAAAGCAUGUAUGAGUUAUCACCAAAACAGAUCAUUUCAGCAUUGUUAAACAGGAGUAAAAUAAUUGUUAUGCAAUCUUUCUGCAUUUACACUUGUCUAUAUUCUCAUACAGAGCUACUUCCUCCUUUUAAGGAAGCUAGAGUUGUCAUGGGGAAUGGGGAAAUAAGGUCUACAGAACAAAUGGAAUUUGUAGUAACUUUUGCUAAAUACUAUUCUGAUCUUAUUAAUGUACAAGGUCUGUUUAAACAGCAGGUGAGGUUAUUUUUGGUGUUUAUUGUUCAUUUACAGUCCUACCAGGUUGUGCAGCUGAGCAAAGAUCUCAACUCUAUCCUGCCUCUUAAACAAAACAAGACCAAAAAGAUAGCAUGACCCCAGAUAAGAAUAAACUUACAGAAUGGAUUAAACUUGGAGUCUUCAGUGAUAAAUUAUAAGAAGAAAUGCUUUGCUCCUUUACAAGGGGCUUCUGGGUGUGCUGGACCUUUUGGAAUGUGUUGAGCCAAAUCUGUUGAGCUGACGAGGAUAUUAUCUAGUCCCUAGUCAGAAACAUCAGUGUCUAUGUUUGAGUUUUACAUGUAACAUCAGACACUUUGCAAUAUCUUUUACCCAUAUGGUACACAGUCUGCAUUCAGGAAAUUAAUUUACUGUUGCAAUUUUUUUCUGUCAACUGACUACUUUUUACUUAUAUUUCUGUUGUAUUUUUAUGAUCUGUCAUGUUUUGUAUAGUUUGUACAGUCUUUUAAAAUGUUUAUUUAAAUGAUUAAA
Molecule: long non-coding RNA, 2324 nt
Organism: Carassius auratus (goldfish)
Lineage: Eukaryota; Metazoa; Chordata; Actinopteri; Cypriniformes; Cyprinidae
Exons: 7
Source: RefSeq, a predicted model, not a curated record